GCAGGGUAUAGACCCGAAACCCGGUGAUCUAGCCAUGGGCAGGUUGAAGGUUGGGUAACACUAACUGGAGGACCGAACCGACUAAUGUUGAAAAAUUAGCGGAUGACCUGUGGCUGGGGGUGAAAGGCCAAUCAAACCGGGAGAUAGCUGGUUCUCCCCGAAAGCUAUUUAGGUAGCGCCUCGUGAAUUCAUCUCCGGGGGUAGAGCACUGUUUCGGCUAGGGGGCCAUCCCGGCUUACCAACCCGAUGCAAACUGCGAAUACCGGAGAAUGUUAUCACGGGAGACACACGGCGGGUGCUAACGUCCGUCGUGAAGAGGGAAACAACCCAGACCGCCAGCUAAGGUCCCAAAGUCAUGGUUAAGUGGGAAACGAUGUGGGAAGGCCCAGACAGCCAGGAUGUUGGCUUAGAAGCAGCCAUCAUUUAAAGAAAGCGUAAUAGCUCACUGGUCGAGUCGGCCUGCGCGGAAGAUGUAACGGGGCUAAACCAUGCACCGAAGCUGCGGCAGCGACACUGUGUGUUGUUGGGUAGGGGAGCGUUCUGUAAGCCUGUGAAGGUGUGUCGUGAGGCAUGCUGGAGGUAUCAGAAGUGCGAAUGCUGACAUAAGUAACGAUAAAGCGGGUGAAAAGCCCGCUCGCCGGAAGACCAAGGGUUCCUGUCCAACGUUAAUCGGGGCAGGGUGAGUCGACCCCUAAGGCGAGGCCGAAAGGCGUAGUCGAUGGGAAACGGGUUAAUAUUCCCGUACUUGGUGUUACUGCGAAGGGGGGACGGAGAAGGCUAUGUUGGCCGGGCGACGGUUGUCCCGGUUUAAGCGUGUAGGUGUGUGUUCCAGGUAAAUCCGGUUCACUUUAACACUGAGGCGUGACGACGAGGCACUACGGUGCUGAAGCAACAAAUGCCCUGCUUCCAGGAAAAGCCUCUAAGCAUCAGGUAACAUCAAAUCGUACCCCAAACCGACACAGGUGGUCAGGUAGAGAAUACCAAGGCGCUUGAGAGAACUCGGGUGAAGGAACUAGGCAAAAUGGUGCCGUAACUUCGGGAGAAGGCACGCUGACACGUAGGUGAAGUGAUUUACUCAUGGAGCUGAAGUCAGUCGAAGAUACCAGCUGGCUGCAACUGUUUAUUAAAAACACAGCACUGUGCAAACACGAAAGUGGACGUAUACGGUGUGACGCCUGCCCGGUGCCGGAAGGUUAAUUGAUGGGGUCAGCGCAAGCGAAGCUCCUGAUCGAAGCCCCGGUAAACGGCGGCCGUAACUAUAACGGUCCUAAGGUAGCGAAAUUCCUUGUCGGGUAAGUUCCGACCUGCACGAAUGGCGUAAUGAUGGCCAGGCUGUCUCCACCCGAGACUCAGUGAAAUUGAACUCGCUGUGAAGAUGCAGUGUACCCGCGGCAAGACGGAAAGACCCCGUGAACCUUUACUAUAGCUUGACACUGAACAUUGAGCCUUGAUGUGUAGGAUAGGUGGGAGGCUUUGAAGUGUGGACGCCAGUCUGCAUGGAGCCGACCUUGAAAUACCACCCUUUAAUGUUUGAUGUUCUAACGUGGACCCGUUACCCGGGUUGCGGACAGUGUCUGGUGGGUAGUUUGACUGGGGCGGUCUCCUCCUAAAGAGUAACGGAGGAGCACGAAGGUUGGCUAAUCCUGGUCGGACAUCAGGAGGUUAGUGCAAUGGCAUAAGCCAGCUUGACUGCGAGCGUGACGGCGCGAGCAGGUGCGAAAGCAGGUCAUAGUGAUCCGGUGGUUCUGAAUGGAAGGGCCAUCGCUCAACGGAUAAAAGGUACUCCGGGGAUAACAGGCUGAUACCGCCCAAGAGUUCAUAUCGACGGCGGUGUUUGGCACCUCGAUGUCGGCUCAUCACAUCCUGGGGCUGAAGUAGGUCCCAAGGGUAUGGCUGUUCGCCAUUUAAAGUGGUACGCGAGCUGGGUUUAGAACGUCGUGAGACAGUUCGGUCCCUAUCUGCCGUGGGCGCUGGAGAACUGAGGGGGGCUGCUCCUAGUACGAGAGGACCGGAGUGGACGCAUCACUGGUGUUCGGGUUGUCAUGCCAAUGGCACUGCCCGGUAGCUAAAUGCGGAAGAGAUAAGUGCUGAAAGCAUCUAAGCACGAAACUUGCCCCGAGAUGAGUUCUCCCUGAGACUUAGGUCUCCUGAAGGAACGUUGAAGACGACGACGUUGAUAGGCCGGGUGUGUAAGCGCAGCGAUGCGUUGAGCUAACCGGUACUAAUGAACCGUGAGGCUUAACCUU
This 2246-nucleotide ribosomal RNA is filed under the name Salmonella enterica subsp. enterica serovar Enteritidis str. 648901 1-17. RNAcentral describes it as "bacterial LSU rRNA". It matches the Rfam family "Bacterial large subunit ribosomal RNA", at positions 702 to 2925 of the family's 2925-position model. The record is from RNAcentral. Lineage: Bacteria; Pseudomonadati; Pseudomonadota; Gammaproteobacteria; Enterobacterales; Enterobacteriaceae. RNAcentral also lists the same sequence under 1 other name.